Molecule: ribosomal RNA, 419 nt
Filed under: uncultured bacterium
Lineage: Bacteria
Description: bacterial SSU rRNA
Rfam family: Bacterial small subunit ribosomal RNA
Source: RNAcentral
GGAAUAUUGGUCAAUGGGCGAGAGCCUGAACCAGCCAAGUAGCGUGAGGGACGACGGCCCUACGGGUUGUAAACCUCUUUUUCGCGGGGAUAAAGUGCGCCACGCGUGGCGUUUUGCAGGUACCGCGUGAAUAAGGACCGGCUAAUUCCGUGCCAGCAGCCGCGGUAAUACGGAAGGUCCGGGCGUUAUCCGGAUUUAUUGGGUUUAAAGGGAGCGUAGGCGGCAUGUUAAGCGUGCUGUGAAAUGCGUCGGCUCAACCGCCGCAGUGCAGCGCGAACUGGCUUGCUUGAGUUCGCUGAAGGAAGGCGGAAUUCGUGGUGUAGCGGUGAAAUGCUUAGAUAUCACGAAGAACCCCGAUUGCGAAGGCAGCUUUCCGUAGCGUUACUGACGCUGAAGCUCGAAGGUGCGGGUAUCGAACA